Molecule: long non-coding RNA, 92 nt
Organism: Alosa sapidissima (American shad)
Lineage: Eukaryota; Metazoa; Chordata; Actinopteri; Clupeiformes; Clupeidae
Exons: 3
Source: RefSeq, a predicted model, not a curated record
CUGCCCUACUUAAGUUGAGGAAAUAAACUACCAGUUUUGGAACGAUAUAUCAGCCUCCCCGUCUCCUAACUUUUCAUCGGCGUUACAAUAUG